This 300-nucleotide ribosomal RNA is filed under the name uncultured Octadecabacter sp. RNAcentral's name for it is "bacterial SSU rRNA". It matches the Rfam family "Bacterial small subunit ribosomal RNA", at positions 114 to 434 of the family's 1533-position model. The record is from RNAcentral. Lineage: Bacteria; Pseudomonadati; Pseudomonadota; Alphaproteobacteria; Rhodobacterales; Roseobacteraceae.
CGCGUGGGAAUAUGCCCUUCUCUAAGGAAUAGCCUCUGGAAACGGAGAGUAAUACCUUAUACGCCCUUUGGGGAAGAUUAUCGGAGAAGGAUAGCCGCGUUAGAUUAGGUAGUUGGUGGGGUAAGUGGCCUACCAAGCCUACGAUCUAUAGCUGGUUUGAGAGGAUGAUCAGCCACACUGGGACUGAGACACGGCCCAGACUCCUACGGGAGGCAGCAGUAGGGAAUCAUCCGCAAUGGGCGAAAGCCUGACGGUGCAACGCCGCGUGAGUGAUGAAGGUUUUCGGUAUCGUAAAGCUCU